UACAGAGGGGGCUAGCGUUAUUCGGAAUUAUUGGGCGUAAAGGGCGCGUAGGCGGCCAUGCGUGUCUUCCGUGAAAUCCCUCGGCUUAACUGAGGACGUGCGGAAGAAACUGCAAGGCUCGAGUCCGGGAGAGGGGGGUGGAAUUCCCAGUGUAGCGGUGAAAUGCGUAGAUAUUGGGAGGAGCACCGGUGGCGAAGGCGGCCCCCUGGACCGGUACUGACGCUGAGGCGCGAAAGCGUGGGUAGCAAACGGG
Molecule: ribosomal RNA, 253 nt
Filed under: uncultured bacterium
Lineage: Bacteria
Description: partial 16S ribosomal RNA
Rfam family: Bacterial small subunit ribosomal RNA
Source: RNAcentral